AAGUCGUAACAAGGUUUCCGUAGGUGAACCUGCGGAAGGAUCAUUAACACAAUUUUACUGUGAUAACAUCCGUUGAAUUCUUCUCGAAUUCAAUGGUAUCCACCCCAUUAUUGACGAACUUUUCUAGAUGUUAAAAACAUACAGCUAGUCUUUAUGUCUCUAACAUUCUAAACCUCUUUCUAUAUCCACACAAAUUUAAACCCCUUUUACAACAUGUCUUAGACUGAAAUGAAAAAUUUCUAUCAAAAAAUUGAUAAAAACAACUUUUAACAACGGAUAUCUUGGCUCUC
Molecule: unclassified non-coding RNA, 290 nt
Filed under: fungal sp.
Lineage: Eukaryota; Fungi
Description: partial internal transcribed spacer region
Rfam family: Eukaryotic small subunit ribosomal RNA (bases 1-46)
Source: RNAcentral